RNAcentral lists this ribosomal RNA (406 nucleotides) under uncultured bacterium. Its description in RNAcentral is "partial 16S ribosomal RNA". It matches the Rfam family "Bacterial small subunit ribosomal RNA", at positions 30 to 526 of the family's 1533-position model. The record is from RNAcentral.
AUUGAACGCUGGCGGCAGGCCUAACACAUGCAAGUCGAACGAGUGGCGGACGGGUGAGUAAUGUCUGGGAAACUGCCUGAUGGAGGGGGCUAACUACUGGAAACGGUAGCUAAUACCGCAUACCCUCGGAUGUGCCCAGAUGGGAUUAGCUAGUAGGUGGGUUAAAGGCUCACCUAGGCGACGAUCCCUAGCUGGUCUGAGAGGAUGACCAGCCACCUGGGAACUGAGCCACGGUCCAGAUUCCUACGGGAGGCAGCAGUGGGAAAGAGUGCAAAAUGGGCGCAAGCCUGAUGCAGCCAUGCCUCGUGUAUGAUGAAGGCCUUCGGGUUGUAAAGUACUUUCAGCGGGGAGGCGUUACCCGCAGAAGAAGCACCGGCUAACUACGUGCCAGCAGCCGCGGUAAUUC